GGCUUUACGGACAUUUGCGACUAAAAGCGAGUUUCCUAAACCGUGCGUCGCAGGUUCGAUUCCUGCCGGGG
Molecule: transfer RNA, 71 nt
Filed under: Siminovitchia thermophila
Lineage: Bacteria; Bacillati; Bacillota; Bacilli; Caryophanales; Bacillaceae
Description: tRNA-Arg
Source: RNAcentral